ACGAGCUACACUUUAUUUCCGGAAUCCUUCGUAUUCUGUUUUCCCCGUGUCAAUUUUUUGAUAGUCAUGGCUUUUGAUCAGUGCAUCAUCGUGCUAAACAUGGGAAUUUGCGGCUUCCACACGAGUAUGAAAUGGUUAAGGAUUCUUUUAGACUCUGAUCGGAGGAUGAGACGGGAGUACUGUUUUUUACUCGAUAUGAUUCUCACAGAGAAUAUGAUGAGUAGCCUUGAAUGCUAGCUUCCACUCGAAUGUGAGGUUUCUAGAGGAAGGACCACAACCAGGGAAGUGCUGACCACUGUCUGUAGACGAAUAACUAUAUGAAGAUAAGAUUUCAGCCGCACCCUCUUAUUUUGUCGAAAGGUUGAGUUGCUUAAACUUGGCGAGUUCCAUGAUAGCAAGAAUAGGAGAAAUACUUUUGAGUUCUUCUCUUAACUAAUAAAUCAGAGCAGUUAAACCUGCUGGGCAUCAGAAUAAUUAAGGGGCAGCUUUUCCAGAGGAACUAUUUCUUCAAAAAGAUAUUCCCACUACAAGGGGAAAAACUGCUAGUUUUACUAUCAGUUUCAGAAAACUUAGCCUCAGUGCUGUUAUCUUGAAUUCCAUCUUAUGCAUGUCAUCUUCCUAAAUAAUCAAUGUAAAAGAGUUGAUGACCGAAGUCAGACCCAGUACUCCAUUGUUUUCCCAGCAUCGUUGAACUUAAGCUAAUAAAUUGAAGUUGCUGAGAAGUAUUAUUGAUAAUAAUAAGCAUGAUGAAUGGGUAAAUAAUGACAGUUCAAUUCAUAAACAUUUAUUGUGGAAAGAAAAACUUAGAAACUGAGAAGAAGAAGUAUUAGUCAUUUCUGUAGAAGUUGAAACAAUGCAGCAUUAUGAGAUUGAAUGGCAGGGCAAUUCUCCUUUGGCAAAGAAAAAGUAUGCACGUGCAUGUCCUCCCUGCCAAAGGAGAAUCACACUGUUAUUCUUUUUCACACAUAUUUAAUUUUCUUCCUCAGAUCACGCUCCCUGCGAGUUCUUGUGUUGAAUACCACAGGUCAUAUGCCCAUAUAUAUACCACCUGGUCUCGCAUUUCCAUUGGAUAUGCUGGAGAAGGAACUGGCAUAUGCUUGGAAGUAUUCCUCUAGGGUUUUUCCCUUUAUUCAAGUUUUCUUUCGCUUUCUUUCCAGGAACAAUAAUGCUAAUGCAAUCUCGGACUUCAUUGAUCCUGGCGCGGCAAAUUAUUUUAUUUCAACCUGCUGAUCUUUUACAUGGAAGAAUCAAUAUAUUCGUAACCUCCUUGAUAAUGGAUUUGGAAAAUUAUAUUCACACUCAGGUUCUUGGAGAUAUUUACAAGUCAGUCUUGCAUGUCAAUUACCAUUCAUCUAAGGAGAACGUACGUAUACCACUGUUACCAACCAUUGAAUCACAAGGCAAUGGCAUUUUAUCUCGGCCAACAAUUAAUCACUAGACCGAAGGGUUUAAAUGGAUGCGAACAAAGCUAUUCAAGUCGUUUUUGAAAUGUUUUUUGGCAAUUUAGUGCUCAAAAUAAAAAUGGGUAUUAGAAGGAUCUAGGUAGCUGAUAAAUGUUUGUUUGGAUUUAGUAAAAACAGUUUUUAUUAUCUUAGUAUCUAUUUCCAAUUUCA
Molecule: non-coding RNA, 1613 nt
Organism: Sesamum indicum (sesame)
Lineage: Eukaryota; Viridiplantae; Streptophyta; Magnoliopsida; Lamiales; Pedaliaceae
Source: RefSeq, a predicted model, not a curated record